CUCAACUAUGUUCAUAGCAGCAUUAUUCAUAAAAUUAGAACUUGGAAACAACCUAGAUGCCCCUCAACCAAAGAAUGCAUUAAGAAAUUGUGGAACAUAUACACCAUGAAGUACUACUCAGCAGUAAAAAACAACA
Molecule: non-coding RNA, 136 nt
Organism: Peromyscus maniculatus bairdii (prairie deer mouse)
Lineage: Eukaryota; Metazoa; Chordata; Mammalia; Rodentia; Cricetidae
Source: RefSeq, a predicted model, not a curated record